GAGUUUAAUCAGUUGAAUUUCCUGUGACGUGUGAAGCUGUGAUCUGUAUGUGCGGAAGGGAAUUGUAUUUCUGAUGGUCCUGUAUAGUAAAUGUAGGAGGUGGACAGUGUGCAGUCUGUAGCUUUAAGCAGUGUGGAGAGAAGAGCACAGGUGAAGCUCGUUAGUGAGAGAAAGAGAACAACAUUAGCAGUAGCGCCGCGGGACGAAGCAGCAGGUGCUGGUAACGAGGGAGAUGAGGGACUGGAGGAUGAAGAGGAGACAAGAAAUUGAGGAUGAAUGCAGUGAGGAAGAUGGGCAGGAUGUAGAAGAGAUGUGAAGUGAAGAGGAGGAAGAGCAAGACAACAGCGAGUCCAUGGAUGAAGGAGGAGGAUGAGGAAGAGGAGAAAGCUGAAUAACAUGUCAUUCCCUGUCAUAGCUAAGCCUGCACGGUGCUUGAUUUCUGAUAAAAAAGAACAGCAGACACAAGAUGCCAACAGAGCAAUUCCGGGCAAAGAGAAGAGAAGAGCAGUGAAUUCAGGUCCUGAAACACCAGCCAGCGUUCUCAAAAACUAAGGUUCUACAAAGGGAUUUUUAAAUGGGAUGUGGGUGUGAAGAACUUUUUACCCUGUGCCUAACAACUUUCAGGACCUGAUGGAGCAAAUCAAGAUCUAAUCAUAUGGAACAUCAUGCUUAUGCACUUUCUGAAACCCUGCUGAUUAAGUGUCCUAAAAGAAACAAAGUAAAGAAAAACGUUUUUGCAAAA
Molecule: long non-coding RNA, 742 nt
Organism: Astyanax mexicanus (Mexican tetra)
Lineage: Eukaryota; Metazoa; Chordata; Actinopteri; Characiformes; Acestrorhamphidae
Exons: 5
Source: RefSeq, a predicted model, not a curated record